Non-coding RNA from Triticum aestivum (bread wheat), 135 nucleotides. Lineage: Eukaryota; Viridiplantae; Streptophyta; Magnoliopsida; Poales; Poaceae. The record is from Rfam.
AUACUACUUCCUCCGUCUUAAAAUUCUUGUCUUAGAUUUGUCUAGAUACAGAUGUAUCUAAUACUAAAAUGUGAUUUGAUACAUUCAUAUUUAGACAAAUUUAAGACAAGAAUUUUGAGACGGAGGGAGUACAGU